UCGCGCAUUGAGAGGGUGGGUAUUGUGUACCUAUUUCAGACUAUUCAGACCGUCCAGAGCUGUACGUGGAACCGACUGCCGAUCAAGUGCAAGAGCGUAUACAACUAAUACAAAUAUGUCAGAUGCAGAACGGACUACUAGGACCGCUGCAACUGGUGGUUUAGCAGCGGGUGCCUACACUGGGGCGGUGAUCGGCGCAAUGGUCGGGGGACCGCCAGGAGCGGCCAUUGGGGGCCUCUUUGGAGCCGCGGUGGGCACUAUAACGGUCGGGACUACGGCCGCCUUCGUCACGGGUCAUCGCGGCUAACAAUUGACAAAGGAUAUUGCUCUGCAAAUUUUGGAACAGUAAAUUGUAAACUGAAAUAAAUAAGAUAAGAUAUUAUUUAGUUGUCAAAAUUGUGUAAAAAGUAUAACAUAUAUCGUAGAUGUCAUAUACUAAAGAAAAAAUGACAAAGCCCUCCAUGACGGGGUAGCCUAGAGUCCCCGUUAGCUGCAUAACGCGCCAUUCAUUUAUUACGCAAGAUAAGCGGGUGGGAGGGUGUUUUGAUAGUUCUUACGUAAGAUCCCAAGGAUGCGUAAAGUAAAGAUUAUACCUUGAAAACCUAUUUUUCCAGAUGUUCUAGUGGCAGAUCCACUUUCCAAGUGGGUUUUGGUUUUGGACUGAUUAAAAUCUUAAGUAAAUAUGAAUGAAGUAGAAGAAAACCGCCAACAAACUGUCUCACAGUUUGGCGAAACAUUAGAUUAAGGUACUAAAUAUUGUAUUUUUUCUGUUAAAUUUUCAAUAAAAAAAAAAAAAAAAAAAAAAAAAACUUUGAAAUUAAACCAUAAUU
Cydia splendana is the source of this 830-nucleotide long non-coding RNA. RefSeq lists it as uncharacterized. The record is from RefSeq and is a predicted model, not a curated record. The transcript has 3 exons. Lineage: Eukaryota; Metazoa; Arthropoda; Insecta; Lepidoptera; Tortricidae.